AUUGAACGCUGGCGGCAUGCCUUACACAUGCAAGUCGAACGGCAGCACGGGAGCAAUCCUGGUGGCGAGUGGCGAACGGGUGAGUAAAGUAUCGGAACGUGCCCAGUCGUGGGGGAUAACGUAGCGAAAGUUACGCUAAUACCGCAUACGAUCUAUGGAUGAAAGCGGGGGAUCGCAAGACCUCGCGCGAUUGGAGCGGCGGAUAGCAGAUUAGGUAGUUGGUGGGGUAAAGGCUCACCAAGCCGACGAUCUGUAGCUGGUCUGAGAGGACGACCAGCCACACUGGGACUGAGACACGGCCCAGACUCCUACGGGAGGCAGCAGUGGGGAAUUUUGGACAAUGGGCGCAAGCCUGAUCCAGCCAUGCCGCGUGCAGGAUGAAGGCCUUCGGGUUGUAAACUGCUUUUGUACGGAACGAAAAGGUUUGACUUAAUACGUUGGACUCAUGACGGUACCGUAAGAAUAAGCACCGGCUAACUACGUGCCAGCAGCCGCGUAA
Molecule: ribosomal RNA, 499 nt
Filed under: uncultured bacterium
Lineage: Bacteria
Description: partial 16S ribosomal RNA
Rfam family: Bacterial small subunit ribosomal RNA
Source: RNAcentral